AGAAAUUUAAGUUAACAAAAACUAAGGACCUUCAAAGCCCUAAAUAGGACUAAAUAAACCUAAUUUCUG
This 69-nucleotide transfer RNA is filed under the name Gekko vittatus (white-lined gecko). Its description in RNAcentral is "tRNA-Trp". The record is from RNAcentral. Lineage: Eukaryota; Metazoa; Chordata; Lepidosauria; Squamata; Gekkonidae.